GGCUCGAUGGCGGAUGGUCCGCACCUGCUUUUAUUGCAGAACUGGCACGCAGUCCCACGCAGAAAGCCCCCGUUCGACUCGGGGUCGAGCCA
Non-coding RNA from Mycena vulgaris, 92 nucleotides. NCBI's taxonomy places the organism in Eukaryota, Fungi, Basidiomycota, Agaricomycetes, Agaricales, Mycenaceae. The record is from the annotation of a GenBank genome assembly.